GGGCGUCACAUUUAGAAUUGUCAAACUUCAUGCCUGAAAGACUUUUCAUUAAGGUGCUGGCCAACAUUUUGUCAAAACUUACAAACUGCUCUUCAAUAGCCUUUUUGAAGUCCUUGGCCUUAUCACAUUGAGGGAUUGAUCCCCUGAUGCUUUUAUCGACAUGAGUCUUCAUGAGACUCACGCUCAAGCAGUUGAAUCUUUCCCACAAUUCAUAUAGUGACCUCUCUUAUGGCAUACUUGAUUUCGU
Molecule: long non-coding RNA, 247 nt
Filed under: Olea europaea (common olive)
Lineage: Eukaryota; Viridiplantae; Streptophyta; Magnoliopsida; Lamiales; Oleaceae
Description: long non-coding RNA (OEUR_LNC011973)
Source: RNAcentral